GGGGAAUUUUGCGCAAUGGGGGGAACCCUGACGCAGCGACGCCGCGUGGGUGAUGAAGGCCUUCGGGUCGUAAAGCCCUGUCUGGGGGGAAGAUAGUGACGGUACCCCCGGAGGAAGCCCCGGCUAACUACGUGCCAGCAGCCGCGGUAAGACGUGGGGGGCAAGCGUUGUCCGGAAUUACUGGGCGUAAAGGGCGUGUAGGCGGCCUGCCAAGUCAGCUGUGAAAUUCCCCGGCUCAACCGGGGGACUGCAGUUGAAACUGGCGGGCUUGAGUGCAGGAGAGGAGGGUGGAAUUCCUGGUGUAGCGGUGAAAUGCGUAGAUAUCAGGAGGAACACCGGUGGCGAAGGCGACCUUCUGGCCUGUUACUGACGCUGAGGCGCGAAAGCUAGGGGAGCAAAC
Molecule: ribosomal RNA, 400 nt
Filed under: uncultured bacterium
Lineage: Bacteria
Description: bacterial SSU rRNA
Rfam family: Bacterial small subunit ribosomal RNA
Source: RNAcentral